RNAcentral lists this transfer RNA (76 nucleotides) under Enterococcus faecium PC4.1. RNAcentral's name for it is "tRNA-Thr". It matches the Rfam family "tRNA". Rfam says of the family: Transfer RNA (tRNA) molecules are approximately 80 nucleotides in length. Lineage: Bacteria; Bacillati; Bacillota; Bacilli; Lactobacillales; Enterococcaceae. The record is from RNAcentral.
GCCAGCUUAGCUCAGUUGGUAGAGCAACGCACUCGUAACGCGUAGGUCGUAGGUUCGAUCCCUAUAGCUGGCAUAA